GGGUUGUGAGGUUAAGCGACUAAGCGUACACGGUGGAUGCCCUGGCAGUCAGAGGCGAUGAAGGACGUGCUAAUCUGCGAUAAGCGUCGGUAAGGUGAUAUGAACCGUUAUAACCGGCGAUUUCCGAAUGGGGAAACCCAGUGUGUUUCGACACACUAUCAUUAACUGAAUCCAUAGGUUAAUGAGGCGAACCGGGGGAACUGAAACAUCUAAGUACCCCGAGGAAAAGAAAUCAACCGAGAUUCCCCCAGUAGCGGCGAGCGAACGGGGAGCAGCCCAGAGCCUGAAUCAGUGUGUGUGUUAGUGGAAGCGUCUGGAAAGGCGCGCGAUACAGGGUGACAGCCCCGUACACAAAAAUGCACAUACUGUGAGCUCGAUGAGUAGGGCGGGACACGUGGUAUCCUGUCUGAAUAUGGGGGGACCAUCCUCCAAGGCUAAAUACUCCUGACUGACCGAUAGUGAACCAGUACCGUGAGGGAAAGGCGAAAAGAACCCCGGCGAGGGGAGUGAAAAAGAACCUGAAACCGUGUACGUACAAGCAGUGGGAGCACGCUUAGGCGUGUGACUGCGUACCUUUUGUAUAAUGGGUCAGCGACUUAUAUUCUGUAGCAAGGUUAACCGAAUAGGGGAGCCGAAGGGAAACCGAGUCUUAACUGGGCGUUAAGUUGCAGGGUAUAGACCCGAAACCCGGUGAUCUAGCCAUGGGCAGGUUGAAGGUUGGGUAACACUAACUGGAGGACCGAACCGACUAAUGUUGAAAAAUUAGCGGAUGACUUGUGGCUGGGGGUGAAAGGCCAAUCAAACCGGGAGAUAGCUGGUUCUCCCCGAAAGCUAUUUAGGUAGCGCCUCGUGAAUUCAUCUCCGGGGGUAGAGCACUGUUUCGGCAAGGGGGUCAUCCCGA
RNAcentral lists this ribosomal RNA (901 nucleotides) under Escherichia coli O174:H21. RNAcentral describes it as "partial 23S ribosomal RNA". It matches the Rfam family "Bacterial large subunit ribosomal RNA", at positions 1 to 934 of the family's 2925-position model. Lineage: Bacteria; Pseudomonadati; Pseudomonadota; Gammaproteobacteria; Enterobacterales; Enterobacteriaceae. The record is from RNAcentral.